RNAcentral lists this ribosomal RNA (645 nucleotides) under uncultured Chelatococcus sp. RNAcentral's name for it is "bacterial SSU rRNA". It matches the Rfam family "Bacterial small subunit ribosomal RNA", at positions 64 to 757 of the family's 1533-position model. Lineage: Bacteria; Pseudomonadati; Pseudomonadota; Alphaproteobacteria; Hyphomicrobiales; Chelatococcaceae. The record is from RNAcentral.
GAGCGCCCCGCAAGGGGAGCGGCAGACGGGUGAGUAACGCGUGGGAAUCUACCCAGCUCUACGGAAUAACCCAGGGAAACUUGGACUAAUACCGUAUACGUCCUUCGGGAGAAAGAUUUAUCGGAGUUGGAUGAGCCCGCGUUGGAUUAGCUAGUUGGUGGGGUAAAGGCCUACCAAGGCGACGAUCCAUAGCUGGUCUGAGAGGAUGAUCAGCCACACUGGGACUGAGACACGGCCCAGACUCCUACGGGAGGCAGCAGUGGGGAAUAUUGGACAAUGGGCGCAAGCCUGAUCCAGCCAUGCCGCGUGAGUGAUGAAGGCCCUAGGGUUGUAAAGCUCUUUUAUCCGGGACGAUAAUGACGGUACCGGAAGAAUAAGCCCCGGCUAACUUCGUGCCAGCAGCCGCGGUAAUACGAAGGGGGCUAGCGUUGCUCGGAAUCACUGGGCGUAAAGGGCGCGUAGGCGGACGUUUAAGUCAGGGGUGAAAUCCCGGGGCUCAACCUCGGAAUUGCCUUUGAUACUGGAUGUCUCGAGACCGGAAGAGGUAAGUGGAACUGCGAGUGUAGAGGUGAAAUUCGUAGAUAUUCGCAAGAACACCAGUGGCGAAGGCGGCUUACUGGUCCGGAUCUGACGCUGAGGCGCGAA